GGGUUGUUUUGCUUGCUUCGUACAACACUACUACUUGCAAUAUGUUUGUUAAGUGUUUUAGUUGUUAGAUGUAUAUUAAUGCGUUUUAUGUAUGAAAGAUAGUUUUAUUAAAAAAACUAUUUCUUUUAAAAAAGAAGUGCGCCUCGUGUUGUGUGCGCUUUCGCCUCUUGCCUCGACACUAGAGACCAUAUCACCUCGGUAAACCUAGCGUGUUUUAAAACACAACUCGUAUGUUACAAUACAGUUGCUCUAGUCUUCCAUGAGAGAACAAAACACAUUAGAAAUUGAAUCUCACUUCGUCAGUGAUUCAAUGUAAAGCUUCUUCAUGAGAUCAUUUUGACUAAGUUUGCAACUAGCAAGUCUAACGAUCAAACAUGCAUAAUUACAAAAUCUAUUUAUAGGUCAUUGAGUUGAAUAUAUAUGUAAGGAGCUUAGAGCGUAUUAAAUACUCUCUCCAGCUUGAGGGGAGUGUUAAAUAUAUUGGGUUUGCCAUAGUUAAAGUUUUGAAAUUUGUCUGUAUAAUAUACUUGCAGAUUGUAUCAUGCAAAGUGUCUCAAUACUUCUCUUUUACCUUCACAAAUCAUAUUUAUAAUCUCACAUUGUAAUUGUUUUGUUUGAUUUAUAAUCAGUUUUAUGUUUUUUGAAACUCUUAUUUUUUUAUAUUUGAAGUAGUUGACAUUUUUAUCUGAAGGUUACCUUUAUACAAAUAUAAAUAGAGUCAUAGAUGUUCUUCAAUGUUCCUCAUAUUUUAUGCAAUUGUUCUGACUCAAGAUUAAAAAAGAAACAAGAAUCAAGUUUAAAGGAGAACUAAAACAAAGUAAAAUAAAAAAUUAUUCAGGAUUCAAAAAAAAUGAUUACAUUGAACUCGAAUACGAUUCAUGAUUAACAAAACCUAAACUAAACUCAAAGAAACUACCUGAUUCAAAUCUGAUGCGAUCUAUUUUAAUACAUAUAUGAAGAAUAAGUAAGAUUUAACUCUAAAACAUCAAGGUCUCAAACACAAAUAAAAUUUUUAAUAAAACUAUUAAAUCACAAGCCAAAACCAUAAAUCAGAACUCUAAAGAAACCGAUUCAAACAAAGUAACAAAGAAAUAAAAAGGUUUGAGGUCCAAAAGGUUCGAGCAAAAGAGGGUGAGCGAUAACGGUGUCGUGGCAAUGGAAGGAAGGAUGCUGCUGAGGAGGUGUAUGUGUGUUUAUCUGUUUAAUGAGUGUGUUCAAGAGUUUAGUGCGUGUGUUUUAAUUCGUUUAAUAAUAAUACAAAUUAAUAAAAGUAAAAAUAUCAUACAACGUACAUGACUCCAAGCAUUAAACUUGCCAUACAUUCAUAUAACUUAUUUUCGCUAAUCCAUUACCAUUACCACCAUAGCACAUAAGUUCAAACUUUAAUAACUAUAUCUGAACGAAAAUUAGUACAGUUACAAUAUGUGGACAGGAAUAAAAGCAAGUUGCUAUUCUAUGUCAUCUGCCGAAUGUUAGCUGAAAGCGUAUUAUAAUUUCUUACAGUAUGCUACUAAAUUCCUUUAAAAAUAUGCUAAUAUUACAGAAAAACAUAGAUUAUUUUUUAGCAGUAAAAUUUCAUACUCAUUUAAUACAAUUAAAUAAUUAUAAAAAAUAAAAAAACAACUAAAGGUGAUUGAUUGGUAAAGGUGUACAAAUCGGUUAAUCGGUUAUUAAAAAAAC
Molecule: long non-coding RNA, 1680 nt
Filed under: Helianthus annuus (common sunflower)
Lineage: Eukaryota; Viridiplantae; Streptophyta; Magnoliopsida; Asterales; Asteraceae
Description: hypothetical non coding rna
Source: RNAcentral